GCCUCGGUGGUGUAGUGGUAGAGCACGCCUCCCCGGUAUGGAUGAAACGCGAGCUCGAUUCAUGGCUAAGGCC
Non-coding RNA from Parelaphostrongylus tenuis, 73 nucleotides. The record is from the annotation of a GenBank genome assembly. Lineage: Eukaryota; Metazoa; Nematoda; Chromadorea; Rhabditida; Metastrongylidae.